RNAcentral lists this ribosomal RNA (1637 nucleotides) under Ligilactobacillus murinus. Its description in RNAcentral is "partial 23S ribosomal RNA". It matches the Rfam family "Bacterial large subunit ribosomal RNA", at positions 1 to 1630 of the family's 2925-position model. The record is from RNAcentral. Lineage: Bacteria; Bacillati; Bacillota; Bacilli; Lactobacillales; Lactobacillaceae.
UUUGGUUAAGUUAAUAAGGGCGCACGGUGGAUGCCUUGGCACUAGGAGUCGAUGAAGGACGGCACUAACACCGAUAUGCCUCGGGGAGCUGUAAGUAAGCUUUGAUCCGGGGAUUUCCGAAUGGGGGAACCCACUAUCUUUAAUCGGAUAGUAUCUUCACGUGAAUUCAUAGCGUGUUGAAGACAGACGCAGGGAACUGAAACAUCUAAGUACCUGCAGGAACAGAAAGAAAAUUCGAUUCCCUGAGUAGCGGCGAGCGAAACGGGAAGAGCCCAAACCAAAGAGCUUGCUCUUUGGGGUUGUAGGACACUCUAUACGGAGUUACAAAAGAAUGAAUUAGACGAAGCGACUUGGAAAGGUCCGCGAAACAAGGUAAAAGCCCUGUAGUCAAAAGUUCAUUCCCUCCAGAGUGGAUCCUGAGUACGGCGGAACACGUGAAAUUCCGUCGGAAUCCGGGAGGACCAUCUCCCAAGGCUAAAUACUACCUAGUGACCGAUAGUGAACCAGUACCGUGAGGGAAAGGUGAAAAGCACCCCGGAAGGGGAGUGAAAUAGACCCUGAAACCGUGUGCCUACAAGUAGUUAGAGCCCGUUAAUGGGUGAUAGCGUGCCUUUUGUAGAAUGAACCGGCGAGUUACGAUUACGUGCGAGGUUAAGUUGAGAAGACGGAGCCGCAGCGAAAGCGAGUCUGAAUAGGGCGAAUUAGUACGUGGUCGUAGACCCGAAACCAGGUGAUCUACCCAUGUCCAGGGUGAAGGUGAGGUAACACUCACUGGAGGCCCGAACCCACGCACGUUGAAAAGUGCGGGGAUGAGGUGUGGGUAGCGGAGAAAUUCCAAUCGAACCUGGAGAUAGCUGGUUCUCUCCGAAAUAGCUUUAGGGCUAGCCUCGUGAUUGAGAAUACCGGAGGUAGAGCACUGUUUGGACUAGGGGGGCAUCUCGCUUUACCGAAUUCAGACAAACUCCGAAUGCCGGAUAUUUAUACACGGGAGUCAGACUGCGAGUGAUAAGAUCCGUAGUCAAGAGGGAAACAGCCCAGACCACCAGCUAAGGUCCCCAAGUAAUCGUUAAGUGGAAAAGGAUGUGGCGUUGCUUAGACAACCAGGAUGUUGGCUUAGAAGCAGCCAUCAUUUAAAGAGUGCGUAAUAGCUCACUGGUCGAGUGACGCUGCGCCGAAAAUGUAUCGGGGCUAAACGAUUCACCGAAGCUGUGGAUGCAUACUUAGAGUAUGCGUGGUAGGAGAGCGUUCUAACAGCGUUGAAGUCAGACCGGAAGGACUGGUGGAGCGGUUAGAAGUGAGAAUGCCGGUAUGAGUAGCGAAACAUGGGUGAGAAUCCCAUGCACCGUAUGACUAAGGUUUCCUGAGGAAGGCUCGUCCGCUCAGGGUUAGUCGGGACCUAAGCCGAGGCCGAUAGGCGUAGGCGAUGGACAACAGGUUGAUAUUCCUGUACCACCUCCUCACCGUUUGAGAAAUGGGGGGACGCAGUAGGAUAGGGUAAGCACGCCGUUGGUUGCGCGUGUUCAAGCAGUAAGGCGUGUAUGUAGGCAAAUCCGCAUACUAUAACGUUGAGCUGUGAUGACGAGCUCGUAUGAGCGAAGUUCCUGAUUUCACACUGCCAAGAAAAGCCUCUAUCGAGG